AUUCCUACGGGAGGCAGCAGUGGGGAAUAUUGGACAAUGGGCCACAAGCCUGAUCCAGCAAUUCUGUGUGCACGAUGAAGGCCUUCGGAUUGUAAAGUGCUUUCAGUUGGGAAGAAGAAAGUGACGGUACCAACAGAAGAAGCGACGGCUAAAUACGUGCCAGCAGCCGCGGUAAUAAU
RNAcentral lists this ribosomal RNA (179 nucleotides) under uncultured bacterium. Its description in RNAcentral is "partial 16S ribosomal RNA". It matches the Rfam family "Bacterial small subunit ribosomal RNA", at positions 335 to 527 of the family's 1533-position model. The record is from RNAcentral.